Non-coding RNA from Zootermopsis nevadensis, 1127 nucleotides. The record is from RefSeq and is a predicted model, not a curated record. Lineage: Eukaryota; Metazoa; Arthropoda; Insecta; Blattodea; Termopsidae.
UUCGGCGGAGAGAGGGGGGUCUGUGACGUGUGUUGGACAUGUGGAUAGUGCAGUUGUAAACACUGUGUAUUGUCACUAAUCGACGUUUAGAUAUAACCAACCAAAGGCAAAGUUCUGGUGUUGUCAGCCUACAAAGAAUAACGGGCCGAAGGAAGGCAGAAGGAAGGCAUGACGUUGGCAGGAUGUAAUCAGCUGACUGGCCCUCGCUAUCCUGGUAGCAGGAAUUGAAUGAAAUACACCACGCAACACGACAGAAGGAAGGCAUGACGUUAAACACAACGCGACAGACACUUCGAAAAGUGGCCUAAUUGUAGCUGUAAUUACCAACAAAGACAGUGCAGAAGAGUAGGUUAAUAGCUAACGCGAAAAACCAAGACACGUGCCUAUGGAAAUAGAUGAAAAGACCUUCUAGAGUGAAGUUUUGAUUUAUAUUUUAAGGUUAGGUGUACUUUUGCAUUCUUACGACUUGGUAAAUUGUGGUUCCACUAUCUCAUCGAAACCUAUGUUAAUAAUCAAUCAUCAAGGAGGAUUUUCUCGUGACUUUCUGUCACCGGUGGGAAUUUUAAUCUCCAGUUUUCGAGAGUGUCUUUGAGCUGUGACUACAACAAUCGAAUUCCCUUACGCCUUGUACCGCCAGAUAUUAUAACAAUACAAGUUCUGUGCUGUGAUCGGUUUCCCACCGCUACAGUGAUGACACCAUGAGCACCAGAGAGAUUUUCUUAGACGGGGGAUCCCCGUGGGGAUUCCGUAUGCAUGGCGGCGCUGAUGUCGGCCAGCCUGUGAGGAUAUCACGGGCAAAUUCCAAGGUGGACGUGACCUCUUCCUUCCACAUGCUUUACAAUUCAUUGUCAGUUCAUCAUCAGGGCGAUGAUGGAGGCAGCACGGACCUCUAAAACGUCGGUAUACUUCUGCCAGACUACACGUCGCUACAACCCAGAAGACAGCCAUCUUCGGCUUUGAAACUUUGUUCCAAUAUUCAGAUUAAUAUCCCUUCUGUGAUAUGACUCAGCUUCUGUGUGACUUUUCGAAAUUGUGCUGUCCUCUGCCAGACUGAAUUUUUAAUUACUUUGGUAUUAAUAGUCUUUAUUAAAAUGGAUCAUUCAAAUUCAGUAUUGUGGCCCAACACA